Molecule: ribosomal RNA, 253 nt
Filed under: uncultured bacterium
Lineage: Bacteria
Description: partial 16S ribosomal RNA
Rfam family: Bacterial small subunit ribosomal RNA
Source: RNAcentral
UACAGAGGGUGCGAGCGUUAAUCGGAAUUACUGGGCGUAAAGGGCGCGUAGGCGGGAGAUUAAGUUAGGUGUGAAAUUCCUGGGCUUAACCUAGGGACGGCACAUAAUACUGAUUUUCUGGAGUAGAGUAGAGGGAAGUGGAAUUUCCGGUGUAGCGGUGAAAUGCGUAGAUAUCGGAAAGAACACCAGUGGCGAAGGCGGCUUUCUGGACUCAUACUGACGCUGAGGCGCGAAAGCGUGGGGAGCAAACAGG